GUUUUGUGUUUUAGGCGGCGCAAGUCCGCACGACAUUCUUUACAACUGGGGUUUGGUAUGCGGCCUCGGGGAGUCGCCUCCCUUCGGGCCGUGAAGGUUCACGGUGGGUUUGUGAGGUGUGAGCGGGGAGGACGGCCCGCUGCACGGCCCGUUUGGACCGGAGCAGGGCGCGCCGAGCCCCGUCAGAGAUACGUUAAUGAUCCUUCCGCAGGUUCACCUACGGAAA
Molecule: unclassified non-coding RNA, 226 nt
Filed under: uncultured fungus
Lineage: Eukaryota; Fungi
Description: sequence contains ITS1
Source: RNAcentral